GACGAACGCUGGCGGCGUGCUUAACACAUGCAAGUCGAACGGAAAGGCCCUGCUUUUGUGUGGUUCUCGCGUGGCGAACGGGUGAGUAACACGUGAGUAACCUGGCCUUUACGUUGUGAUAUCUUCAGGAGACUGGGGCUAAUACCUGAUAGGAGCUCCUGCUGCAUGGUGGGGGUUGGAAAGUUUCGGCGGUUGGGGAUGGACUCGCGGCUUAUCAGCUUGUUGGUGGGGUAGUUGCUUACCAAGGCUUUGGCGGGUGGUCCGCCUGAGAGGGUGAACGGGCACAUGGGGACUAAGGGAGGGAGCAGACUCCUACGGGAGACAGCAGUCGGGAAUAUUGCACAAUGGGCGGAAGCCUGAUGAAGCAACGCCGCGUGCGGGAUGACGGCCUUCGGGUUGUAAACCGCAUUAGCCUGUGACGAAGCGUGAGUGACGGUAAUGGGUAAAGAAGCACCGGCUAACUACGUG
This 468-nucleotide ribosomal RNA is filed under the name uncultured bacterium. RNAcentral describes it as "partial 16S ribosomal RNA". It matches the Rfam family "Bacterial small subunit ribosomal RNA", at positions 28 to 507 of the family's 1533-position model. The record is from RNAcentral.